Molecule: long non-coding RNA, 1385 nt
Filed under: Felis catus (domestic cat)
Lineage: Eukaryota; Metazoa; Chordata; Mammalia; Carnivora; Felidae
Description: lncRNA (ENSFCAG00000052382.1)
Source: RNAcentral
UGCAGUUUAGUGGCACUGAUGCUGCCCUGUUGAAACCAGGUGGAGAGGAAGGAGACAGGUACCAUUCCAGCUUCAUUGGGGUUCAGGUAUGUUAGUGUUUGUGUUGGUGUUGUUGUUGGAUUUUUCACCUUUUACCCUACCAAAUCUCAAAAGUUUAAUUUCUGUCCUGCAGGUCCAUGUGGUUUCCAGGAUAUUUCCUCCUUUCCCAGAAGUGCCCUCCAUGUGAUACCCCGUGAGCUGACUUUUAUCACCACCCAUGGGCUUUGGGACACACCCACCUUCUCCAAACUGGGGUCCUCUGGGACCUCACCUUCCUCCUCCACCAUGUGGAAAGAUGAUAUGACCAGUAUAAGUUGACUUAUAAAACACGUUGUGUCUUUUACUUGUUAUGUGUUUGGAGGAGAUGCAGUGAUGGCACCACAGGGCUUUCAAGUCAGCCUAAGUGAGGACGUUGUAAUGUUCUUCAAGUUUCUCAGGACAUGCAUGAAAUGGGCAGUCAUUUCCACAUAGUGAGCUGGGCAACACGUGUCUCUGAUAGAGAAGGAAAGAGGCCUUAUACAUGCUGACAGACAUAGCACACCCUAGGAUGUAGCUGGUACAGAGACCAUGUGCUGGGCUCUCUGAGGGAUGAAACACCCCCCUAACAUACUUUCUAGCGAGUUGAGACCUGAGCUGUUCACAGCUGCUUGAUUAGUUAUAAAAACACCUGAACCAGGACCCUGUAAACCUUCCUCAAGAGACAGGAUCAGAUCUCCCUCUUGUCCUCAAGGGUCACCCGAGGCACAUGAAAAACGCUCUGUCCCUGGUAAGGGACCCGAGAGUGUGAAUGAGUUGAAUAUAAUGAAACAUGUGGUGGAUGGUUUGUUUUUCUUCCACACAGUCUAUGCAAGUCAGAAUCAACCUCCAUCCACGUCCAUCCUUUAUGAGACCUAAGACGUGAUGCAGCUCCCAUGGGCAAUAUCAGUGGUGUCUCUACCAAGGAUGCAGAGAAAGACAAGAUUCAGGUUUGUUUCCGGGAAGAAACCCUGACAGAAAUUCAGAAGAACGGGAGCUGCAUUCCAUUAGGACUUGAAUACACGAAAAUGUUCGUCUCAGGACCUUCUAGAAGAAUGAGACUGGGAACCCACUUUUCCCGAGUCCUGCUGGAACCAGAGACUGAGGUAAGGGCACAAACUGUCCCCCACAUCAUACAUGCUUUUUAAAAAAAUUUAUGGUUAUUUUUCCAACCUAAUGAAGAGAUUUAAAACUGCAGAAAACCUGGUAGGUAGGUAUCUUAAUCUUAUGUUAUUGUUUACUUUAAAUUGCACUUAGUAAACUAUACAGUGUAAUAUUAGUUUCAGGUAGCAAUAUAGAGCAACACUUCCACACUGUCACCUGGUGCUCCA